This 209-nucleotide long non-coding RNA is filed under the name Elaeis guineensis (African oil palm). RNAcentral describes it as "long non-coding RNA (EGUI_LNC046208)". Lineage: Eukaryota; Viridiplantae; Streptophyta; Magnoliopsida; Arecales; Arecaceae. The record is from RNAcentral.
GCAUUAACAUGGGUUAAAGUUAUUAAUUGAAACCAUUUCAAUUUUGUAAAAUAAUUUUACAUCAUUUUUAUAUAAAAUUUUUUGGUCUGAAAACUAGAUCGACUCACCUCUGAAUUGAGUUGGCUCACUUCAGUGGAUCGACUAAGUCUGAUACUUGAUCGACUAACUGAUCAUGAACAGUAACCAUUACUGUUUGGCUUGAGACAACU